This 377-nucleotide ribosomal RNA is filed under the name uncultured bacterium. RNAcentral describes it as "bacterial SSU rRNA". It matches the Rfam family "Bacterial small subunit ribosomal RNA", at positions 145 to 520 of the family's 1533-position model. The record is from RNAcentral.
AACCGGUGGAAACGCCGACUAAUCCCCGAUGGGAUAUUGUGCCGCAUGGCACGAUAUUGAAAGUUACGGCGGCGACGGAUUGGCUCGCGUCCGAUUAGCUUGUUGGCGGGGUAACGGCCCACCAAGGCUACGAUCGGUAGGGGUUCUGAGAGGAAGGCCCCCCACAAUGGGACUGAGACACGGCCCAUACUCCUACGGGAGGCAGCAGUGAGGAAUAUUGGUCAAUGGGCGGAAGCCUGAACCAGCCAUGCCGCGUGCGGGAAGGAGGCCCUAUGGGCUGUGAACCGCUUUUGCCUGGGGGCAAUAAGGGCGUCGCGCACGCCCGAUGAGAGUACCAGGCGAAUAAGCAUCGGCUAACUCCGUGCCAGCAGCCGCGG